UACGUAGGGUGCGAGCGUUACUCGGAAUUACUGGGCGUAAAGCGUGCGCGGGCGGCGCGUUAAGACAGGUGUGAAAGCCCCGAGCUUAACUUGGGAAUUGCGCUUGUGACUGGCGUGCUGGAGUGUGGCAGAGGGAGGUGGAAUUCCACGUGUAGCAGUGAAAUGCGUAGAGAUGUGGAGGAACACCGAUGGCGAAGGCAGCCUCCUGGGCCAGCACUGACGCUCAUGCACGAAAGCGUGGGGAGCAAACAGG
Molecule: ribosomal RNA, 253 nt
Filed under: uncultured bacterium
Lineage: Bacteria
Description: partial 16S ribosomal RNA
Rfam family: Bacterial small subunit ribosomal RNA
Source: RNAcentral